AGAGUUUGAUCAUGGCUCAGAGCGAACGCUGGCGGCAGGCUUAACACAUGCAAGUCGAGCGGGCGUAGCAAUACGUCAGCGGCAGACAGGUGAGUAACGCGUGGGAACGUACCUUUUGGUUCGGAACAACACAGGGAAACUUGUGCUAAUACCGGAUAAGCCCUUACGGGGAAAGAUUUAUCGCCGAAAGAUCGGCCCGCGUCUGAUUAGCUAGUUGGUGAGGUAACGGCUCACCAAGGCGACGAUCAGUAGCUGGUCUGAGAGGAUGAUCAGCCACAUUGGGACUGAGACACGGCCCAAACUCCUACGGGAGGCAGCAGUGGGGAAUAUUGGACAGUGGGCGCAAGCCUGAUCCAGCCAUGCCGCGUGAGUGAUGAAGGCCCUAGGGUUGUAAAGCUCUUUUGUGCGGGAAGAUAAUGACGGUACCGCAAGAAUAAGCCCCGGCUAACUUCGUGCCAGCAGCCGCGGUA
Molecule: ribosomal RNA, 470 nt
Filed under: uncultured Pseudomonadota bacterium
Lineage: Bacteria; Pseudomonadati; Pseudomonadota
Description: bacterial SSU rRNA
Rfam family: Bacterial small subunit ribosomal RNA
Source: RNAcentral